This 1911-nucleotide ribosomal RNA is filed under the name Myxobolus sp. CMW-2004. RNAcentral's name for it is "SSU rRNA". It matches the Rfam family "Eukaryotic small subunit ribosomal RNA". Lineage: Eukaryota; Metazoa; Cnidaria; Myxozoa; Bivalvulida; Myxobolidae. The record is from RNAcentral.
GCUAUUCUUGAAGAUUAAGCCAUGCAUGUGCCAAGUUCAAACGUUCAUAUCGUGAGACUGCGGAAGGCUCAGUAUAUCAGUGAUUAUCUGUUUGAUUGUCUUACCUAUGGAUAACCGUGGGAAAUCUAGAGCUAAUACAUGCAGUUUAUGGUGGGGCUUGCUCUGCCAAGCAUUUAUUAGUUUUAACCAAUUACUGCGCAAGCAGUAAGGUGAAUCUAGAUAACUUUGCUGAUCGCAUGGCUUUGCCAGCGACGUUUCAAUUGAGUUUCUGCCCUAUCAAUUUGUUGGUAAGGUAUUGGCUUACCAAGGUUGUAACGGGUAACGGGGAAUCAGGGUUCGAUUCCGGAGAGGGAGCUUGAGAAUCGGCUACCACAUCCAAGGAAGGCAGCAGGCGCGCAAAUUACCAAAUCUAGACAGUAGGAGGUGGUGAAGAGAAGUACUAAGUGGUGGUUAUUUACUACCAGCUUGGAAUGGACCAAAUUUAAGCAUUUCGGUGAGUAACUACUGGAGGGCAAGUCCUGGUGCCAGCAGCCGCGGUAAUUCCAGCUCCAGUGGCGUGAUUUAAAGUUGCUGCGUUUAAAACGCUCGUAGUUGGAUCAAGCGGUGUCAGUUUGUAGUCUGCGGUUGGCAUUUGGCUGCUUCAGUCGAUGCCGGUCGUGGAUUAAACGCAAACUGUCACUAUUUAAUCGCAAAUAUGUUGGUUGGCCUUUAAUGAGCUGACUUUCAUAUUUUGCAGAGUGGUGCCUUGAAUAAAACGAAGUGCUCAAAGCAGGCGAACGCUUGAAUGUUGUAGCAUGGAACGAACAAACGUGUAUUCGCACAUGUCGUGCGAAGCGGAUGCGCUUCUGGUGUGUCUGCUUUGCUGACGUGUGCAUCACCCGCCAAAGUACGAUUGUUGGUUAUCGUAUUAGGUGAUGAUUAAAAGGAGCGGUUGGGGGCAUUGGUAUUUGGACGCGAGAGGUGAAAUUCAAAGACCGUCCAAGGACUAACAAAUGCGAAGGCAUCUGUCCAGACCGUAUCCAUUAAUCAAGAACGAAAGUGGGAGGUUCGAAGACGAUUAGAUACCGUCGUAGUUCCCACUGUAAACUAUGCCGACUAGGGAUCAGCUUGGUGAUGUUACAAGCAUCAAGUUGGUCUCCAAGGGAAACCAUAAGUUUUUCGGUUACGGGGAGAGUAUGGUCGCAAGGCUGAAAUUUAAAGGAAUUGACGGAAGGGCACCACCAGGGGUGGAACCUGCGGCUUAAUUUGACUCAACACGGGGAAACUUACAUGGUCCAGACAUCGAUAGGAUAAACAGACUGAUAGCUCUUUUUUGAUGCGGUGAGUGGUGGUGCAUGGCCGUUCCUAGUUCGUGGAGUGAUCUGUCAGGUUUAUUCCGGUAACGAACGAGACUACAACCUUCAUUUAAGAGGCAAAAGCAGGUUUCGCGUUUGAUUGUGCUUCGGUGCUUUCUUACGUGUCUCUGAAAGAAGAAUAUUCAAUUUUCCAGCUGGCYGGGCUAGCGGGCAACCGUGAACUYGGUCAGUUGCGGGAUGCGGGUAUUUUCUCUUUUGUCAAGCAGUCCUAGGGCAACCUUUGGCUGACUUAUGGAGGGACUGCUGGUGUUACAAAACCAGAGGAAGUGUGGCGAUAACAGGUCAGUGAUGCCCUUCGAUGUCCAUGGCUGCACGCGCGUUACAAUGAUAACGUCAGAAAGUAUCUGUUUCGAGAGAAAUAGGUAAUCUUUAAUCGUUAUCGUGAUGGGGAUUGACCGUUGUAAAUCGGUCAUGAAAUAGGAAUCCCGAGUAUAUGCUAUUUAUUAAAUAGUAUAGAUUUAGUCCCUGCCCUUUGUACACACCGCCCGUCGCUACUACCGAGUGAAUGGUGUCAUGAUGCGCUGGGACCGUACUUUGAAGAGGUGUCAAAGCCUUU